GUAGUCUCGCACAGAUGCAUAUCAAUAAGCGGAGGAAAAGAAACUAACAAGGAUUCCCUUAGUAACGGCGAGUGAAGCGGGAAGAGCUCAAAUUUGAAAUCUUCAAGGUUUUACCUUGACGAAUUGUAGUUUAAAGAAGUGUUUUCUGUUGAAGUUUUGGUAAAAGUUCUUUGGAAUAGGACAUCAUAGAGGGUGAGAAUCCCGUAUUUGACCAUUAUUUUCAGCUGUGUGAUACACUUUCAAAGAGUCGGAUUGUUUGGGAAUGCAGUCCAAAAUGGGUGGUAAAUUUCAUCUAAAGCUAAAUAUUGGCGAGAGACCGAUAGCGAACAAGUACCGUGAGGGAAAGAUGAAAAGAACUUUGAAAAGAGAGUUAAACAGUACGUGAAAUUGUCAAAAGGGAAGCGUUUGACACCAGUGUUGUUUUCUCGAAAAUCAAUUAAAAAGAGUUAGAUUUUGUUGUGUAUUGACCUUAACAGCUUGCAUUUCAAUUUUCUUGCUUUUUUUAAUGCACUUUUCGUUUAACAAGUCAACAUCAGUUUCUUUUGUUGUAAAAAGGUCAUUGGUAAGGUGGCUUUCUUUUCGGAGAAAGUGUUUAUAGCCUUUGACUCCUGCAAUCGGAGAGACUGAGGUCUGCAGCGUAGAUCCUUCGGGGUUAGAUACAUUUGUGCUAAGUUAUAGCUUUUUAUAGACAACUUGUUGACUAUGAUUAGUCUUGUAGCUUACUCGCUUAUGCUAUUUUACCUACGCUUAGGAUGUUGAGCGCAUGUCUCUCUCU
This 775-nucleotide ribosomal RNA is filed under the name uncultured Neocallimastigales. Its description in RNAcentral is "partial large subunit ribosomal RNA". It matches the Rfam family "Eukaryotic large subunit ribosomal RNA", at positions 24 to 616 of the family's 3401-position model. The record is from RNAcentral. Lineage: Eukaryota; Fungi; Neocallimastigomycota; Neocallimastigomycetes; Neocallimastigales.